GCUAGUAAUCACAGGUCAGCAUACUGUGGUGAAUACGUUCCCGGGCCUUGUACACACCGCCCGUCACACCAUGAGAGUUGAGAAUACCCGAAGCCCAUGUCAAAGUGGUCGAAGGUAGGCUUGAUGAUUGGGGUGAAGUCGUAACAAGGUAAC
Molecule: ribosomal RNA, 153 nt
Filed under: uncultured bacterium
Lineage: Bacteria
Description: partial 16S ribosomal RNA
Rfam family: Bacterial small subunit ribosomal RNA
Source: RNAcentral